RNAcentral lists this long non-coding RNA (368 nucleotides) under Solanum tuberosum (potato). RNAcentral's name for it is "long non-coding RNA (STUB_LNC002460)". Lineage: Eukaryota; Viridiplantae; Streptophyta; Magnoliopsida; Solanales; Solanaceae. The record is from RNAcentral.
CUUCUAGCUCAGACUUAUGACCUUUCUCCUUCCUAGGAGGCAAGCGCCUCGGCGGCUUCUUUGGCAUCACGGCAUUGUUCCCUUUUGGAACCUUCUUCGAACGUGGCGGCAGGGACCCUUUCGCACCAUUGUCUUUCUUCGAACUUGCAAUGGUGGCCGUAUGCGUCGACUCCUUUUCCUCUAGUUGCAUGGCUGUUAGGCGUACUUGUCCUUCCGUCUUCGGUACCUUGACCAUGGGCACCAUACAUGAUCUUCCUUGCUCCAUGACUAGAAGUCGUUGGAGGUAAGGGUCGAUCACCGCGUGGCACUGCUGGAAGAACUCCUGCCCAAGAAUUAUGUCAAAAGGAUCUAAAGGAGCGACAAUGAAG